AUACUGAUGGCAGACUAAUGCAUAAAACUUAAGCUUUUACAACGGAUUAUCAUCCUCAGUGUU
RNAcentral lists this transfer RNA (63 nucleotides) under Mexistrophia reticulata. RNAcentral describes it as "tRNA-Leu". Lineage: Eukaryota; Metazoa; Mollusca; Gastropoda; Stylommatophora; Cerionidae. The record is from RNAcentral.